Molecule: long non-coding RNA, 161 nt
Organism: Thamnophis elegans (Western terrestrial garter snake)
Lineage: Eukaryota; Metazoa; Chordata; Lepidosauria; Squamata; Natricidae
Exons: 2
Source: RefSeq, a predicted model, not a curated record
GUCUUUAAUUACCUUAACAAAAUUGGGUGCUUCUUUCUUCAUCCACGCUGUGGUUAGAAGGAGAGAGGCUGCCGAUUUUGCAAUCUGUGUGCAUGUGGGUCGCCUAGAUGAAUAUCUGCCAAAACAUAUUCCUUUCACCAUUCUUCUGGAGACAAAAGCUU